Molecule: small RNA, 152 nt
Filed under: Cavia porcellus (domestic guinea pig)
Lineage: Eukaryota; Metazoa; Chordata; Mammalia; Rodentia; Caviidae
Description: FTX transcript, XIST regulator conserved region 5 (ENSCPOG00000037594.1)
Rfam family: FTX transcript, XIST regulator conserved region 5
Source: RNAcentral
AUGUGGUGACAAUUCUCAGAGCCGGAAGUCACAAAGCAGUGUAGAGAGAGUGACAGAACAAACAGAACUGUCUAGAUGGAAGCAGCAGGUCUUAGCAGAGGUGAAUACUGUGUAGAAAAUCUAUGGUGUCUCUAGCCACAGCACUGAAACCA